RNAcentral lists this ribosomal RNA (505 nucleotides) under uncultured bacterium. Its description in RNAcentral is "partial 16S ribosomal RNA". It matches the Rfam family "Bacterial small subunit ribosomal RNA", at positions 28 to 507 of the family's 1533-position model. The record is from RNAcentral.
GACGAACGCUGGCGGCGUGCCUAAUACAUGCAAGUAGAACGCACAGUUUAUACCGUAGCUUGCUACACCAUAGACUGUGAGUUGCGAACGGGUGAGUAACGCGUAGGUAACCUGCCUGGUAGCGGGGGAUAACUAUUGGAAACGAUAGCUAAUACCGCAUAAUAUUGAUUAUUGCAUGAUAAUUGAUUGAAAGAUGCUAUUGCAUCACUACCAGAUGGACCUGCGUUGUAUUAGCUAGUAGGUGAGGUAACGGCUCACCUAGGCGACGAUACAUAGCCGACCGGAUAGGGUGGUCGGCCGCACUGGGACUGAGACACGGCCCAGACUCCUACGGGAGGCAGCAGUAGGGAAUCGUCGGCAAUGGACGAGAGUCUGACCGAGCAACGCCGCGGGAGGGAAGAAGAUUGUCGGAUCGGAAAGCUCGGUUGUAAGAGAAGAACGGGUGUGAGAGUGGAAAGUUCACACUGUGACGGUAACUGACCAGGAAGGGACGGCUAACUACGUG